UUUGGAAAAGUUGAUCCUGGCUCAGGACGAACGCUGGCGGCGUGCCUAAUACAUGCAAGUCGAGCGGACAGAUGGGAGCUUGCUCCUUGAUGUUAGCGGCGGACGGGUGAGUAACACGUGGGUAACCUGCCUGUAAGACUGGGAUAACUCCGGGAAACCGGGGCUAAUACCGGAUGCUUGUUUGAACCGCAUGGUUCAAACAUAAAAGGUGGCUUCGGCUACCACUUACAGAUGGACCCGCGGCGCAUUAGCUAGUUGGUGAGGUAAUGGCUCACCAAGGCGACGAUGCGUAGCCGACCUGAGAGGGUGAUCGGCCACACUGGGACUGAGACACGGCCCAGACUCCUACGGGAGGCAGCAGUAGGGAAUCUUCCGCAAUGGACGAAAGUCUGACGGAGCAACGCCGCGUGAGUGAUGAAGGUUUUCGGAUCGUAAAGCUCUGUUGUUAGGGAAGAACAAGUACCGUUCGAAUAGGGCGGUACCUGACGGUACCAACCAGAAAGCC
Molecule: ribosomal RNA, 505 nt
Filed under: Bacillus subtilis
Lineage: Bacteria; Bacillati; Bacillota; Bacilli; Caryophanales; Bacillaceae
Description: bacterial SSU rRNA
Rfam family: Bacterial small subunit ribosomal RNA
Source: RNAcentral